Molecule: ribosomal RNA, 253 nt
Filed under: uncultured bacterium
Lineage: Bacteria
Description: partial 16S ribosomal RNA
Rfam family: Bacterial small subunit ribosomal RNA
Source: RNAcentral
UACAGAGGGUGCGAGCGUUGUCCGGAAUCACUGGGCGUAAAGGGCGCGUAGGCGGCUCGGUCAGCGUGCGGUGAAAGCCCGGGGCUCAACCCCGGGUCGGCCGUGCGAACUGCUGGGCUGGAGCACUGUAGAGGCAGGCGGAAUUCCGGGUGUAGCGGUGGAAUGCGUAGAGAUCCGGAAGAACACCGGUGGCGAAGGCGGCCUGCUGGGCAGUUGCUGACACUGAGGCGCGACAGCGUGGGGAGCAAACAGG